Molecule: long non-coding RNA, 833 nt
Organism: Mauremys mutica (yellowpond turtle)
Lineage: Eukaryota; Metazoa; Chordata; Testudines; Geoemydidae
Exons: 5
Source: RefSeq, a predicted model, not a curated record
CAGGAACAUGAGGAUUGCUGCUGCUGACAGUUUGCUGUGGACUUUUAUUCAGUGGUCUUUGGAUGAAACCUAGAAAAAACAUAAAGUCACUCUGUUGGAUUUUCCUUUGAUACCUGGCUGGAUUACUAGAGAUGACCCAGAACAAGAGAUGGAAAAAUAAAUGUGAGUGACUCAAGCAACCAACAUCAGGUGUUAAUGAAUAAAUAUCCUUUAGCUAGCCACCCACCUUACAAGGAAAAAUCCUCCCCCAGAUGGAAUUUAAUACAGGGGACCAUUGUGUGAAGAGGCACUUCAGAGAGUGAUGAUAUAUUUCCUAAAACAAUUGAGGGAUAAUACAGAUAACGUGCAACUGAUUUUCAAAUGUCCAAAUCUGUUGUCACCAUUAGAGACACCAUUGAGGCUACAGCUGUGACACAAAAUGAGACAGAUACAUUUAUAUUUGUUAAUUUUCUAUCUUAAUGAGCUUGGGCUAAGUGUGUCAGGUGUGGAAAAAUCAACAUCGGCUCUUCAAGGAAAAAAAAGAUAAACCAACAAAUUAUAUUGGAAUCAGUGUAGCACCAUUGAAGUCAAUGGACCUGUGCCUAUUUAUUCCAGGUUUAUUUCUCUGAAAGGGAAGAACCACUGGAGAGAGAAAGCACAUUGAAUGUGCGGGACAAACCUAUUCUCAACAUGAGACGAUUUGGUGGAAAAUAUUUUUCUACGGGUUGCUGCCGAAUGACCAGUUUGCUGGAGGAUUUGACGCUGGCAUGUCACAAAAAAGGCACACGCUGACCAAGAUCAUAACCCCGUCUGUCUCUUGAGAGGAGCAGGCAGAGGGAGUUGUUAUCCUAGAC